This is a long non-coding RNA of Poecilia latipinna (sailfin molly), 944 nucleotides long. RefSeq lists it as uncharacterized. Lineage: Eukaryota; Metazoa; Chordata; Actinopteri; Cyprinodontiformes; Poeciliidae. The transcript has 3 exons. The record is from RefSeq and is a predicted model, not a curated record.
CUUUAAAAAUUAAAAAUUCACCAAACCAGAAAAUGAUUAUCCAAACAUCAGACACACAAAUGUUGCUUUUUAAAACCAUUCCUGAUGUCAGACAGUUUAAAGAAUGACUUGAAUUUGUUUUAUAAGUCUUUAUGUUUGGUGAAGUCAAAAAUCUCUUUCCUGAAGUUUCACACUUUAAUGUUCUGUUUCAUUUAUUUAUUCCUAUUUUAUUCAUUUCUAUUGUAACUCCAGCUGCCUGCUAAAAUCUACAUGUUUGUUGUCUCUGUUGUUUUGUGUCGUUUUCUUCCAGCUGCUGUUUGGUUCUGUUGGCCUCCAUGUUUGUACUGUGAACUCAUAAUGUGGACAUUAUGGACCUUGAUGGACUCGACUGUAUGUCUUCAUAGAAAUAACAAGAAGCAUGAAAGCUGUUGUUUGACUCCAACUGGCUUCAGUAAAGAGUCGACAGAAGCUUCUGGUCUGGGCUCUUAUUUUGGAGGGUUGAUCUGAAUGUCGACUCCAACAAGGUCGGCCAUUUUUCCUCCUCAGAACUUAAAUCCAUGCAGACAAUCAUCCUGGUUCUGCAGAUAAAGAUCGGAGCGCUGCUGCUGCACUCUCCUCCGCCAGCUUCCUGGUUUCUAUGGCAACGCCUCAGUUUAGUAUUAUCAUCCAAACACUCGCCUGAGCAACAAUAAGGCAUCCAGACGGAAAAAGAAGUUCUGAACUUUGAGAUCCGGAGCUCAGCAGGAAAAAGUUUCUCCUGUUAGAGAACCAGAGGAAACGAGCCGAGAGAAAACCGAGAGAAACAUCGUUAAAACUCGCAGAGAUGGAAACGCAACUAAAAACAUGGAGACACGGAUCAGGAAGUCAUUUAGCCGAGGAGAAGGAAACCUCUGCUGCACUGUAAAAACUACAAGAAUAAAGUGUUUUUACAGGAAAACAGCUGAAAUGACAGAUGUUAAAUAAUU